CCAAUAGCGUAUAUUAAAGUUGUUGCAGUUAAAAAGCUCGUAGUUGAACUUCGGGGUCUACCCAUUGGUCAGGCUUAAUUGUCUGCACUGGUGAGAUGGAUCUCUACCUUCUGAGGAACUUUCAUGCCAUUUAUUUGGUGUGAUUGGAAAUCAGGACUGUUACUUUGAAAAAAUUAGAGUGUUUAAAGCAGGCUAUCGUCUGAAUACAUUAGCAUGGAAUAAUGAAAUAGGACGGACUGAUUCUAUUUCGUUGGUUUCUAGGAUCACCGUAAUGAUUAAUAGGGAUAGUUGAGGGCAUUAGUAUUCAAUUGUCAGAGGUGAAAUUCUUGGAUUUAUUGAAGACUAACUACUGCGAAAGCAUUUGCCAAGGAUGUUUUCAUUAAUCAAGAACGAAAGUUAGGGGAUCGAAGACGAUCAGAUACCGUCGUAGUCUUAACCAUAAACUAUGCCGACUAGGGAUCGGACGAAGUUAAUUUUAUAAUGACGCGUUCGGCACCUUACG
Molecule: ribosomal RNA, 502 nt
Filed under: uncultured Glomeromycotina
Lineage: Eukaryota; Fungi; Glomeromycota
Description: partial small subunit ribosomal RNA
Rfam family: Eukaryotic small subunit ribosomal RNA
Source: RNAcentral